Molecule: long non-coding RNA, 433 nt
Filed under: Pan troglodytes (chimpanzee)
Lineage: Eukaryota; Metazoa; Chordata; Mammalia; Primates; Hominidae
Description: long non-coding RNA NONPTRT002859
Source: RNAcentral
UGGCACCACCUGCACUGCCUGCAGCUUCUGUUGCACCUGGGGCAGAGCUACGCUUGGCUGCUGACACCUAUGAGAAGGCAGGUAUGGUGGACCUUCUGAAAAGCUGAAGUCCUGAAUAGAACAAAAAGGCUCACCGUCCCAUGAAUAGAGAGAACUCCUCCUGCCUGACUGCUGUGAGCUGGGACAUCCAUUGUUUUCUGUUUUUUGGAUUUGAACUGAAACAUCAGCUCUUCCUUGAUCCUGAACCUGCUGGCUUUCUGAUGGGAACUUGCACCAACAGCUCUCCUAGUUCUCAGGCCUUUGGACUUGGACUGGAAUUACACCAUCAAAUCUCCUGGGUCUCCAGCUUGCCAUCUGCAGAUCUUGGAACUUCUUAGCCUCCACAUCCUGUGAGCCAAUUCCUUAUAAGUCUCUUUAUAAAUAUAUACAUCCA